Molecule: ribosomal RNA, 501 nt
Filed under: uncultured bacterium
Lineage: Bacteria
Description: SSU rRNA
Rfam family: Bacterial small subunit ribosomal RNA
Source: RNAcentral
AGAUUGAACGCUGGCGGCGUGCCUAACACAUGCAAGUCGAGCGGUAACAGGUGUAGCAAUACAUGCUGACGAGCGGCGAACGGGUGAGUAAUGCUUUGGAAUCUUCCCAGUAGUGGGGAAUAACCAGUCGAAAGAUUGGCUAAUACCGCAUACGUCUGUAAAGGGAAAGCGGGGGCUCGUAAGACCUCGCGCUAUUGGAUGAGCCAAAGUCGGAUUAGCUAGUUGGUGGGGUAAUGGCCUACCAAGGCGACAAUCCGUAGCUGGUCUGAGAGGACGACCAGCCACACCGGAACUGAGACACGGUCCGGACUCCUACGGGAGGCAGCAGUGGGGAAUAUUGGACAAUGGGGGAAACCCUGAUCCAGCGACGCCGCGUGUGUGAAGAAGGCCUGCGGGUUGUAAAGCACUUUUAGUGGGGACAAAAAGCUACGGAUUAAUACUCUGUGGUCUUGAUUUAACCCAAGAAAAGCACGGCUAACUCUGCGCCAGCAGCCGCGGUAA